UAAAAGAAAUUGAAGAAAAUGAUUUGACCCGAAAUCCCAAUCACACACAGCACACAAUUCUGCACACAGACCAAAAGGAACAAUAUAAAUGGAAAACAAAAAUCUAUGACAGAAGUGGAAUUUGUCUUAUCUUCAAUUCAUACACAUGACCCCAAACAGUUUUGUUCAUAAAGGCAAACAAAAACGUCAAUCAAACGCAUUCAUUAAAAAACAUAAAAUCACAAAAAUAAAAUCCAUCAAGCAAUUAGAAUAAGUAAAACAAAAUAUAUACAAAAAAUGUACACGUGCCCCUCGGAUUGACAAGGGAGCAGACGCCCAACUAAGCGGUGAUUUCUGCAGCUCGCCGCAAACCUGAACAGGAAAAGCGGUGGAGAAAGUACAAGGAAAGAUGGAUGCGAAACAAAAGUGCUCUCUAAUAUUCCAUUCGCACACACACACUUCUGCUCAAUCCGACUCAUAUGAAAAUAUCCGAAUUCAGGCAGACAAUAUUCUUGCUAUUGUACAUUACGGCCCUAUUGAGACGGCGACACAUUUCAAAAUUCAAAAAUAUUGUGAUCUUAAAGGUGCCUGUAAAUUGGCACAAUUUAAAAAAAGACAUUUGUACUGGAAAAAUGUCUAUAAAGCUGCUGCUAUUGUUGUCCGCGUCUCCCCUCUCCCCAAUAUUAUUAUUAAAAGCCAGGCGAUGACCUCAUUCAUGACCACAGGCUGUGACACUUGAACUCUGGGUGCGUGUGCGCGUGUGAUUGUCUGCUCCACGCAUUGUGGUCCCAGCACGGUGUAUGGCUGCCUCCUAGCGUCUGAAAGUAGACUGCAUGCAUGCACGCCCGCCCCGCGUUCAUUCUUUGCCUUCACGAUCGCCGCGAGCGCGCUUGGGAGUGUUGACGCUCCACAAGCUGCUCGCCUGCGUUCAGUCGACGGCUCGGCGCAGCCUCGGACCAACUCAACCCGGGGACCGCAUCGACUGUCGGCCAACUUGGAUUUACUCGAUUCCAUCUGUGAGCCGUUUGAGCGCUUUUUUUUUCCACCCCACACCCCCCCCAAAAAAAAAAAAAUUAGCUGCUGAUUAGUGUGACUUUCGGGCUUUUAUUUGCAGAUUCUGCACAAACGGAGUAUCUGUAAAUAAAACAAACACUUCUUAAAAUUUCGGACAUAGCCUCGCUCCAAUUAUGAUAGCGGACCGGUGACCCCGGGGGUGCGCAAAGUUCCCGGCCUGAUUAACCCCGGCAGAGCCGCACGGGAGCAAAGGUUAACCGGCCUAAUCAACUUCAAGAGGGCGACUCAGUCAGAUCAUCAACUACAUGGGACACUUCCACACAUAGUGAAAAAGACACACACACGCAGGUAAAGACAUUCAGGAAAGUGUGAUUAUGAUUAUCAUCAUUUUUAGGAGUAUUUGGAUGACUUGCAUUGCUCUAAAACUCUCCUUAAAUCCACCCGGUGACAUUUCUCAUUAGUUCUGUUUGCUACGCACCGACUGGUUCACGUAAACAUCAAAACGCUGACAAUGAGGAGAAUGUCAUAUGCAGCCUGCUUUGCAUGAAUAAAGGAGCCCUGCAAUAAGUCUCAAAUGUUAUGUUUUUUUAUUGCACAUUAUGUCACAUUUUCUGGACAGUUUAGGAUGAUUAUGAUGACUACAAAUAUUUAAUAAGGUGCACAUUUACGGUGUAUGAUCGCAUGGACAAUUCUAAAUCCGUUCAAAAUAUGAAGGGCUGCGAAGAUCUAUUUCGGUGAGCAAAGGAGGUUAAAUGAAGCUUUGUCGUCUUUUUAAAGGCAGAAUUAUUGUGUUGGACAUAUCGGAGGUUGUCAUCGUGGGCGUACCUAAUGUUCUGGCCUGUACUCAUACACACCUCUUCAAAUUAGGCUCGCUUUUUAUUGCCUUAUUGUUUUAGUGGUCACAUCUCAAGUGCAGCGUGUGUGUGUGUUUGAUCUUUACAUAUGCAAUCGCGCGUGCAAAAAAA
Molecule: long non-coding RNA, 1958 nt
Organism: Hippocampus comes (tiger tail seahorse)
Lineage: Eukaryota; Metazoa; Chordata; Actinopteri; Syngnathiformes; Syngnathidae
Exons: 2
Source: RefSeq, a predicted model, not a curated record